AGAGAAUUAUAUUAUAUGAACUGUUUUCUGAUCCAUUGCACUGGGUUACCUUCAGUUCUACUUUUGUAUUGUUUCAAAGGCCUUAAAAGAACUGCUCAAUUACUUAUUGAAAGCCCCUGGGUUACCUUACAAUUUGUGUGCUGUUGUUUUAAAAAUAUUUUGUUUAUUAUUGUAUUUUUUUGUGUGUUUUGUAUUUUUUAUAGUUCCAUUUAGUGUGCCAAAAAAUAUGAAAACUUGACGUUCGUGACGUCACAUACCAAACAAUGAUGUAAUUCAAUAAAUUGCGUCACGCCCGAAUGACCGUUCUAUUGGACCUAUUUUGAGGAAAAUUUUGCUUAAGCAAAAAAUAAAAAAGAACUGACUUUAUGUAAAAAAAAAAAGUAGGGGUGUGAUAAAGGGUA
Molecule: long non-coding RNA, 401 nt
Filed under: Mytilus galloprovincialis (Mediterranean mussel)
Lineage: Eukaryota; Metazoa; Mollusca; Bivalvia; Mytilida; Mytilidae
Source: RNAcentral